RNAcentral lists this long non-coding RNA (669 nucleotides) under Phaseolus vulgaris (common bean). Its description in RNAcentral is "long non-coding RNA (PVUL_LNC002679)". The record is from RNAcentral. Lineage: Eukaryota; Viridiplantae; Streptophyta; Magnoliopsida; Fabales; Fabaceae.
ACAGGAUAAGAGGGUAAAAGAUAAGAUGAUGAUAGUGCGAUUGAUGUCCUUUGCAGAUUUUACUGUCCUUUGCAAUAUAUGUUAGGUCCCUUCCCCUAUUUUUAAUUGUCAGAUUCUAAAUCAAUGGUACCAAGGCUCUUUCUGAACUCCACCAAAAUAUGUAUAUUUUAUAAUAACAAUUCAUUGGUUGUUGAUGAAGCUCCAGGGUUGUCUUUUGGAAGAUUCCAACUCUAACACCUAUUUGUCUUCAUCUCCCUGUUCUCUUCCUUCCAACAUUUACUACAUAGAUUCCAACAUAUUUCAAACAUCAGAUUUUAAUUCAUAGUAAAACCAAAAUUUCUUUUGUUUAGAGUUCAGCAAAUACUCAUUUUGUUUCUUUAGCUGUCUUGAAAUUUAGGAAAAUGCUGAGAGCAUAUGUUUGGAGACUAAACUGACCAAUUAAGUGUUACUGGUAGAAAAUAAAGUGGAUGAAGCAAAAGGGUUGUUAACUUUAUAAUAUACUAAAAAUUUUGGAUGGAAAAAGUGGUGUUAAGUUAAGUACAGUUUAUGCAAAGACACAGAGAAUAGGGUUGUGUUGCAGCUUUGAGGAAAAUAGAAAAGAAACAAAAAGAAAAAGAGUUGAAAGUGUUUUGUUUGCAGCAUAGAACAUAGACACACAUACACACAAAG